CAAGAUCUGGCUGGAAGGCUUCUGCAAUGAAUUGUUCAAGGUGGAUUGAGUGAGAGCUCAUAAAUGCGAGUUCCUCUUCUGUUCAAUCAUACAAGGUUGUGAUCAGGAUGAACUGGACACCGACUAGAUGCGCAAGUCUAAGGGUUCUAGUCGCCUACUGCUUCGUCCACAUACCACGAAUCAGGUGUGAACUAGAUUUAGUUUGUAAAUUGUGGAUGAAGGUUUCGGAAAUACUUUGCUACAGUAGUAAAUCAGGUUUCUCAAGUUGGUCACACUGGACUAAUUGGAGGAAGUGUUCCUCUGUUUGAUGAGGUAAUUGGAUAUCUUUUAAUUUUCCAAGAAUGUUGCAAUUUGAUAUAUAAUCAAGCAGAUUAUACUGAA
Selaginella moellendorffii is the source of this 381-nucleotide long non-coding RNA. RefSeq lists it as uncharacterized. The transcript has 2 exons. The record is from RefSeq and is a predicted model, not a curated record. Lineage: Eukaryota; Viridiplantae; Streptophyta; Lycopodiopsida; Selaginellales; Selaginellaceae.